GACGAACGCUGGCGGCGUGCCUAAUACAUGCAAGUUGAGCGAUGAAGAUUGGUGCUUGCACCAAUUUGAAGAGCAGCGAACGGGUGAGUAACGCGUGGGGAAUCUGCCUUUGAGCGGGGGACAACAUUUGGAAACGAAUGCUAAUACCGCAUAACAACUUUAAACAUAAGUUUUAAGUUUGAAAGAUGCAAUUGCAUCAGUCAAAGAUGAUCCCGCGUUGUAUUAGCUAGUUGGUGAGGUAAAGGCUCACCAAGGCGAUGAUACAUAGCCGACCUGAGAGGGUGAUCGGCCACAUUGGGACUGGGACACGGCCCAAACUCCUACGGGAGGCAGCAGUAGGGAAUCUUCGGCAAUGGACGAAAGUCUGACCGAGCAACGCCGCGUGAGUGAAGAAGGUUUUCGGAUCGUAAAACUCUGUUGGUAGAGAAGAACGUUGGUGAGAGUGGAAAGCUCAUCAAGUGACGGUAACUACCCAGAAAGGGACGGCUAACUACGUG
This 497-nucleotide ribosomal RNA is filed under the name uncultured bacterium. RNAcentral describes it as "partial 16S ribosomal RNA". It matches the Rfam family "Bacterial small subunit ribosomal RNA", at positions 28 to 507 of the family's 1533-position model. The record is from RNAcentral.